This 517-nucleotide ribosomal RNA is filed under the name Saccharomyces cerevisiae (brewer's yeast). Its description in RNAcentral is "eukaryotic LSU rRNA". It matches the Rfam family "Eukaryotic large subunit ribosomal RNA", at positions 97 to 628 of the family's 3401-position model. Lineage: Eukaryota; Fungi; Ascomycota; Saccharomycetes; Saccharomycetales; Saccharomycetaceae. The record is from RNAcentral.
AGCGGCAAAAGCUCAAAUUUGAAAUCUGGUACCUUCGGUGCCCGAGUUGUAAUUUGGAGAGGGCAACUUUGGGGCCGUUCCUUGUCUAUGUUCCUUGGAACAGGACGUCAUAGAGGGUGAGAAUCCCGUGUGGCGAGGAGUGCGGUUCUUUGUAAAGUGCCUUCGAAGAGUCGAGUUGUUUGGGAAUGCAGCUCUAAGUGGGUGGUAAAUUCCAUCUAAAGCUAAAUAUUGGCGAGAGACCGAUAGCGAACAAGUACAGUGAUGGAAAGAUGAAAAGAACUUUGAAAAGAGAGUGAAAAAGUACGUGAAAUUGUUGAAAGGGAAGGGCAUUUGAUCAGACAUGGUGUUUUGUGCCCUCUGCUCCUUGUGGGUAGGGGAAUCUCGCAUUUCACUGGGCCAGCAUCAGUUUUGGUGGCAGGAUAAAUCCAUAGGAAUGUAGCUUGCCUCGGUAAGUAUUAUAGCCUGUGGGAAUACUGCCAGCUGGGACUGAGGACUGCGACGUAAGUCAAGGAUGCUG